Molecule: ribosomal RNA, 909 nt
Filed under: uncultured bacterium
Lineage: Bacteria
Description: bacterial SSU rRNA
Rfam family: Bacterial small subunit ribosomal RNA
Source: RNAcentral
AUAAGGAUCGGCUAACUCCGUGCCAGCAGCCCGCGGUAAUACGGAGGAUCCGAGCGUUAUCCGGGAAUCAUUGGGUUUAAAGGGUCCGUAGGCGGACCGUUAAGUCAGGGGUGAAAUUCUGCGGCUCAACCGUAGAACUGCCCUUUGAUACUGGCGGUCUUGAGUUAUAGUGAAGCAGCCAGAAUAUGUGGUGUAGCGGUGAAAUGCAUAGAUAUCACAUGGAAUACCGAUUGCGAAAGCAGGUUGCUAACUAUAUACUGACGCUGAUGGACGAAAGCGUGGGUAGCGAACAGGAUUAGAUACCCUGGUAGUCCACGCCGUAAACGAUGGAUACUAGCUGUCCGGCAGUAAUGCUGGGCGGCCCAGCGAAAGUGAUAAGUAUCCCACCCGGGGAGUACGUCCGCAAGGAUGAAACUCAAAGGAAUUGGCGGGGGCCCGCACAAGCGGUGGAGCAUGUGGUUUAAUUCGAUGAUACGCGAGGAACCUUACCAGGGCUUAAAUGCAGUGCGACAGAUUUGGAAACAGAUUUUUCUUCGGACGCAUUGCAAGGUGCUGCAUGGUUGUCGUCAGCUCGUGCCGUGAGGUGUCAGGUUAAGUCCUAUAACGAGCGCAACCCCUGCCGUUAGUUGCCAGCAUGUCAUGAUGGGGACUCUAACGGGGCUGCCGGUGCGAACCGUGAGGAAGGUGGGGAUGACGUCAAAUCAUCACGGCCCUUACGUCCUGGGCCACACACGUGCUACAAUGGCCGGUACAGAGAGCAGCCACGUCGUAAGGCGGAGCGAAUCUAUAAAACCGGUCACAGUUCGGAUCGGGGUCUGCAACUCGACCCCGUGAAGCUGGAAUCGCUAGUAAUCGGAUAUCAGCCAUGAUCCGGUGAAUACGUUCCCGGGCCUUGUACACACCGCCCGU